UACUCAAAAAACACCGCACGAUAUCUUUCACCUGCACUGGGCUAAAAUUCUUAGAUUCAAAUUUUUCGGUGGAAUAUUUAAAAACUUGCUUGGUCUACAAUGGGUUAAGCGUUCUCUGUCCAUGAUCGGAAAUCGCAUUCCAUGAUUUUGAUAUUACAAGCUAAUUUGAUUGUGCCUAAAAUAAGGUUAAUAAAACGUAAAUAAGUAAGAAAUUUAACUUAAGAUUGACAUGUUUUACAUAUCUAUGCAUUUGAUCGGUUUUCUGUACAUAUAUCGCGAUUCCUAUAUCUCUAUAGUACAUUAAUGGUUAGCUUUCUGUAUGAAGAAAUCAAAAAUAUUUCCUCAAUCCUAUAAUAUCCUUUUUCC
Drosophila miranda is the source of this 366-nucleotide long non-coding RNA. RefSeq lists it as uncharacterized. The transcript is spliced from 2 exons. NCBI's taxonomy places the organism in Eukaryota, Metazoa, Arthropoda, Insecta, Diptera, Drosophilidae. The record is from RefSeq and is a predicted model, not a curated record.